Small nucleolar RNA from Hydractinia symbiolongicarpus, 149 nucleotides. RefSeq annotates it as small nucleolar RNA SNORA79. The record is from RefSeq and is a predicted model, not a curated record. The transcript has a single exon. NCBI's taxonomy places the organism in Eukaryota, Metazoa, Cnidaria, Hydrozoa, Anthoathecata, Hydractiniidae.
CGAUGAAUGUUCCUUGCCUUCUCUGUAGUUGAUGAGUUGUGCAAUUUUAUGUCAUCGUAAAUCAAUUUUUGUGGUCUUCUUCACCCGUGUUUAUGACGUUCAAUGUGUGAACUUUAACAUGCUCAUGGUAUUUGCAAGACCAAACAAAA